GACGAACGCUGGCGGCGUGCCUAAUACAUGCAAGUCGAGCGGACCGGAUCGGAGCUUGCUCUGGUUUGGUCAGCGGCGGACGGGUGAGUAACACGUGGGCAACCUGCCCGCAAGACCGGGAUAACUCCGGGAAACCGGAGCUAAUACCGGAUAACACCGAAGACCGCAUGGUCUUUGGUUGAAAGGCGGCCUUUGGCUGUCACUUGCGGAUGGGCCCGCGGCGCAUUAGCUAGUUGGUGAGGUAACGGCUCACCAAGGCGACGAUGCGUAGCCGGCCUGAGAGGGUGACCGGCCACACUGGGACUGAGACACGGCCCAGACUCCUACGGGAGGCAGCAGUAGGGAAUCUUCCGCAAUGGACGAAAGUCUGACGGAGCGACGCCGCGUGAGCGAAGAAGGCCUUCGGGUCGUAAAGCUCUGUUGUGAGGGACGAAGGAGCGCCGUUUGAACAAGGCGGCGCGGUGACAGUACCUCACGAGGAAGCCCCGGCUAACUACGUGCCAGCAGCCGCGGUAAUACGUAGGGGGCGAGCGUUGUCCGGAAUUAUUGGGCGUAAAGCGCGCGCAGGCGGUUCCUUAAGUCUGAUGUGAAAGCCCACGGCUCAACCGUGGAGGGUCAUUGGAAACUGGGGGACUUGAGUGCAGGAGAGGAGAGCGGAAUUCCACGUGUAGCGGUGAAAUGCGUAGAGAUGUGGAGGAACACCAGUGGCGAAGGCGGCUCUCUGGCCUGCAACUGACGCUGAGGCGCGAAAGCGUGGGGAGCAAACAGGAUUAGAUACCCUGGUAGUCCACGCCGUAAACGAUGA
RNAcentral lists this ribosomal RNA (805 nucleotides) under uncultured organism. RNAcentral describes it as "SSU rRNA". It matches the Rfam family "Bacterial small subunit ribosomal RNA", at positions 28 to 812 of the family's 1533-position model. The record is from RNAcentral.